Melospiza melodia melodia is the source of this 255-nucleotide long non-coding RNA. RefSeq lists it as uncharacterized. The record is from RefSeq and is a predicted model, not a curated record. Lineage: Eukaryota; Metazoa; Chordata; Aves; Passeriformes; Passerellidae. The transcript is spliced from 3 exons.
GGCGGCUGAAUUGCCGAAGAAGACAUCAACACCUCGUCUUUUGUCCAGGGAAAUGCUGAAGUCUUUUAGUCUGCUUCCCUCUAAGUUCCUGAGGGAGAAGUUUCUCAGCACAAAGAAGGAGGCCAGUCCUGAGAAGAGUAUUCUGCCCAGAAUUGGCCCAUUUCUAGACAGGAGUGAGACUCGUCGAAAGUCGUCAACAGGUGCCCUGAAACCGAGCUCGUUUGAGGUUUCCCCACCAGAGAUGGUAUUUGAGAA